RNAcentral lists this ribosomal RNA (373 nucleotides) under uncultured eukaryote. RNAcentral describes it as "partial 18S ribosomal RNA". It matches the Rfam family "Eukaryotic small subunit ribosomal RNA", at positions 592 to 976 of the family's 1831-position model. The record is from RNAcentral.
CAAGAGCGUAUGUAAAAGUUGUUGCAGUUAAAAAGCUCGUAGUUGAACCUUGGGUUUGGUUGGCCGGUCCGCUUUUUUGCGAGUACUGGAUUCAACCGAGCCUUUCCUUCUGGCUAACCAGUCGUUUCGGCGGCUGGCGAACCAGGAUUUUUACUUUGAGAAAAUUAGAGUGUUCAAAGCAGGCAUUAGCUUGAAUAUAUUAGCAUGGAAUAAUAGAAUAGGACGUUAUGGUUCUAUUUUGUUGGUUUCUAGGACCAUCGUAAUGAUUAAUAGGGACGGUCGGGGCAUCAGUAUUCAGUUGUCAGAGGUGAAAUUCUUGGAUUUACUGAAGACUAACUACUGCGAAAGCAUUUGCCAAGGACGUUUUCAUUAA